UUAAAUCCUCAGAAAUGUGUAAAGUUUCAUUAAUUGACAUGUGAUAGAAAAAACUUCUAAAGAAGUUUACUUUAGUUAGCUACCAAGAUACCUCUACCCUAUCAAAAGCACACCAUUAUUUAGAUACUAGGUGACAAUGUUCAUGCACUAUUAUACCUGCAGUGACAAAGGUGGAUGAUGGGUUUCUGCUCUCUAGAAUUGGAGUUUCAUGGUCUUUCUGGACUUCCAACCUGUUGAAGCCUUCAUGGUCCGCAACAUUGCUAAACUGGUUCCUGCAUUUAACCGGGUUUUUAUUAAAACUUCCUUUUCUUUUUUAUUAUCCAAUCCUUAAUCCAUAUAUGCUGUUUUAAUUAUUCAUGUUUUCUGUAACUAAAACUUUUGGGUUCUUUUCCCAUGGUUGAGGUACUCUGGUGUUGGAGCAGGCAUUGAAUAUGCUGUGAAAUAUUUAAAAUACUUCAUAAAUGAGUGGGUCAAAAUCGGGUUACCUGCCAAGCCCAAGGUCCUGACAGAGCAUCCACAUCUCUCACAUGAAGAGCAAUGCCAUAUUUUUGAAAAGGAAGCAGUGAAUCUGUCACUGAUAAACAUUCAGAGCUGCCCAUAUAUUAGAGCAGCAAUGGCUUUGGAAAAACUACCACUGAAGGGUCGCUAAUAUAAUUUGUUGACGGAUCCUUUGAGCUUUGGAAGAUCAAGUAUCACAUUACAUACCCUACUACCAUAAUUACACGCUGAAGUCUCUCUCCCCAUUUCGUUUUGCUUGCUCUUUUGGUCUAAGCAUGCAUGUGCUUUUUGUUUGCCUUUGGUCUUUGCAAAAAUAAUAAUAAUAAUAAUA
Molecule: unclassified non-coding RNA, 829 nt
Filed under: Hevea brasiliensis (rubber tree)
Lineage: Eukaryota; Viridiplantae; Streptophyta; Magnoliopsida; Malpighiales; Euphorbiaceae
Source: RNAcentral